GACGAACGCUGGCGGCGUGCCUAAUACAUGCAAGUCGAGCGGACUGAUUAAGAGCUUGCUCUUAUGACGUUAGCGGCGGACGGGUGAGUAACACGUGGGCAACCUGCCCUGUAGAUCGGGAUAACACCGAGAAAUCGGUGCUAAUACCGGGUAAUAUCUGAGAUCACAUGAUCUUAGGUUAAAAGAUGGCUCCGGCUAUCACUACAGGAUGGGCCCGCGGCGCAUUAGCUAGUUGGUAAGGUAAUGGCUUACCAAGGCGACGAUGCGUAGCCGACCUGAGAGGGUGAUCGGCCACACUGGGACUGAGACGCGGCCCAGACUCCUACGGGAGGCAGCAGUAGGGAAUCUUCCGCAAUGGACGAAAGUCUGACGGAGCAACGCCGCGUGAGUGAUGAAGGGUUUCGGCUCGUAAAGCUCUGUUGUUAGGGAAGAAACAGUACCGAACGAACUAGGUCGGUACCUUGACGGUACCUAACCAGAAAGCCACGGCUAACUACGUG
This 500-nucleotide ribosomal RNA is filed under the name uncultured bacterium. Its description in RNAcentral is "partial 16S ribosomal RNA". It matches the Rfam family "Bacterial small subunit ribosomal RNA", at positions 28 to 507 of the family's 1533-position model. The record is from RNAcentral.